This 419-nucleotide ribosomal RNA is filed under the name uncultured Prevotella sp. Its description in RNAcentral is "bacterial SSU rRNA". It matches the Rfam family "Bacterial small subunit ribosomal RNA", at positions 358 to 774 of the family's 1533-position model. The record is from RNAcentral. Lineage: Bacteria; Pseudomonadati; Bacteroidota; Bacteroidia; Bacteroidales; Prevotellaceae.
GGAAUAUUGGUCAAUGGGCGCGAGCCUGAACCAGCCAAGUAGCGUGCAGGACGACGGCCCUAUGGGUUGUAAACUGCUUUUAUGCGGGGAUAAAGUGCGGCACGUGUGCCGUUUUGUAGGUACCGCAUGAAUAAGGACCGGCUAAUUCCGUGCCAGCAGCCGCGGUAAUACGGAAGGUCCGGGCGUUAUCCGGAUUUAUUGGGUUUAAAGGGAGCGCAGGCGGGUUGUUAAGCGUGACGUGAAAUGUAGCCGCUCAACGGCUGAACUGCGUCGCGAACUGGCAGUCUUGAGUGAGUACGACGCUGGCGGAAUUCGUGGUGUAGCGGUGAAAUGCUUAGAUAUCACGAAGAACUCCGAUUGCGAAGGCAGCCGGCGAGUCCUCAACUGACGCUAAUGCUCGAAAGUGCGGGUAUCGAACA